UACGGAGGGUGCAAGCGUUGUCCGGAUUUAUUGGGUUUAAAGGGUGCGUAGGCGGCCCUUUAAGUCAGUGGUGAAAUCCCAGGGCUCAACCCUGGAACUGCCAUUGAUACUGGCGGGCUUGAGUUCGGUUAAGGCGGGCGGAACUGGUGGUGUAGCGGUGAAAUGCAUAGAUACCACCAAGAACACCGAUUGCGAAGGCAGCUCACUGAGCCUAAACUGACGCUGAGGCACGAAAGCGUGGGGAGCAAAC
Molecule: ribosomal RNA, 250 nt
Filed under: uncultured Cytophagia bacterium
Lineage: Bacteria; Pseudomonadati; Bacteroidota; Cytophagia
Description: partial 16S ribosomal RNA
Rfam family: Bacterial small subunit ribosomal RNA
Source: RNAcentral